AACAGGAUUAGAUACCCUGGUAGUCCACGCCGUAAACGAUGUCGACUUGGAGGUUGUGCCCUUGAGGCGUGGCUUCCGGAGCUAACGCGUUAAGUCGACCGCCUGGGGAGUACGGCCGCAAGGUUAAAACUCAAAUGAAUUGACGGGGGCCCGCACAAGCGGUGGAGCAUGUGGUUUAAUUCGAUGCAACGCGAAGAACCUUACCUACUCUUGACAUCCAGAGAACUUAGCAGAGAUGCUUUGGUGCCUUCGGGAACUCUGAGACAGGUGCUGCAUGGCUGUCGUCAGCUCGUGUUGUGAAAUGUUGGGUUAAGUCCCGCAACGAGCGCAACCCUUAUCCUUUGUUGCCAGCGGUUCGGCCGGGAACUCAAAGGAGACUGCCAGUGAUAAACUGGAGGAAGGUGGGGAUGACGUCAAGUCAUCAUGGCCCUUACGAGUAGGGCUACACACGUGCUACAAUGGCGCAUACAAAGAGAAGCGACCUCGCGAGAGCAAGCGGACCUCAUAAAGUGCGUCGUAGUCCGGAUCGGAGUCUGCAACUCGACUCCGUGAAGUCGGAAUCGCUAGUAAUCGUAGAUCAGAAUGCUACGGUGAAUACGUUCCCGGGCCUUGUACACACCGCCCGUCACACCAUGGGAGUGGGUUGCAAAAGAAGUAGAUAGCUUAACCUUCGGGAGGGCGUUUACCACUUUGUGAUUCAUGACUGGGGUGAAGUCGUAACAAGGUAACC
Molecule: ribosomal RNA, 730 nt
Filed under: uncultured bacterium
Lineage: Bacteria
Description: bacterial SSU rRNA
Rfam family: Bacterial small subunit ribosomal RNA
Source: RNAcentral